This is a long non-coding RNA of Eriocheir sinensis (Chinese mitten crab), 793 nucleotides long. RefSeq lists it as uncharacterized. The transcript has 3 exons. The record is from RefSeq and is a predicted model, not a curated record. NCBI's taxonomy places the organism in Eukaryota, Metazoa, Arthropoda, Malacostraca, Decapoda, Varunidae.
GAACAACAAACCCGGGCAGGUGGAGCUCGUCAGCCGUGGUAGGCAAUCUGCCUAGGAGAGCAAACUCCGAACAACAAACCCGGGCAGGUGGAGCUCGUCAGCCGUGGUAGGCAAUCUGCCUAGGAGAGCAAACUCCGAACAACAAACCCGGGCAGGUGGAGCUCGUCAGCCGUGGUAGGCAAUCUGCCUAGGAGAGCAAACUCCGAACAAUAAACCCGGGCAGGUGGAGGUCGUCAGCCGUGGUAGGCAAUUCACCUAGGAGAGCAAACUCCGAACAAUAAACCCGGGCAGGUGGAGGUCGUCAGCCGUGGUAGGCAAUUCACCUAGGAGAGCAAACUCCGAACAAUAAACCCGGGCAGGUGGAGGUCGUCAGCCGUGGUAGGCAAUCUGCCUAGGAGAGCAAACUCUAAAUAAACCCGGGCUUGUGGUGCUCGUUAUACUGUCGUAGACAAUCCACGCGAUGGGAACACCAAAGAAAAGGAAAAUAAAAAAGAACACCAGAAAAAUGGAAAAUACAGAAACGAAACAUCAAGAAAAGAAACAAAAAGAUCAUCCACCUUUAGGCCCUAACAUCGCCAAAAUUAUGGGUGGGUCUCUUCUGGGGAGAAAGCGGCUCACCCAGACCAAAGAACAUCAACAAGGGAUGAUAUAGAAAAGAACACCAAAAAAAUAUGGAAAAAGAACAGAAAAAACAUCGAAAAAGAAAAGCAACAGAAAUAAAUGAGCAACAUCGAGAAAAGAGAAAUACAAAGAAACAUCAUCCACCUUUCGGCCCCAAACAACAUCACCAAAA